AUACGAGGGGUGCAAGCGUUAAUCGGAAUUACUGGGCGUAAAGCGUUCGUAGGCGGUUUGUUAAGCAAGAUGUGAAAGCCCUGGGCUCAACCUGGGAACUGCAUUUUGAACUGGCAAGCUAGAAUACUGUAGAGGGUGGUGGAAUUUCCAGUGUAGCGGUGAAAUGCGUAGAGAUUGGAAGGAACAUCAGUGGCGAAGGCGGCCACCUGGACAGAUAUUGACGCUGAGGAACGAAUGCGUGGGGAGCGAACAGGAUUAGAAACCCGAGUAGUCC
Molecule: ribosomal RNA, 274 nt
Filed under: uncultured bacterium
Lineage: Bacteria
Description: partial 16S ribosomal RNA
Rfam family: Bacterial small subunit ribosomal RNA
Source: RNAcentral